RNAcentral lists this ribosomal RNA (2921 nucleotides) under Staphylococcus aureus VET0140R. Its description in RNAcentral is "bacterial LSU rRNA". It matches the Rfam family "Bacterial large subunit ribosomal RNA". Lineage: Bacteria; Bacillati; Bacillota; Bacilli; Caryophanales; Staphylococcaceae. The record is from RNAcentral.
UUAAGUUAUUAAGGGCGCACGGUGGAUGCCUUGGCACUAGAAGCCGAUGAAGGACGUUACUAACGACGAUAUGCUUUGGGGAGCUGUAAGUAAGCUUUGAUCCAGAGAUUUCCGAAUGGGGAAACCCAGCAUGAGUUAUGUCAUGUUAUCGAUAUGUGAAUACAUAGCAUAUCAGAAGGCACACCCGGAGAACUGAAACAUCUUAGUACCCGGAGGAAGAGAAAGAAAAUUCGAUUCCCUUAGUAGCGGCGAGCGAAACGGGAAGAGCCCAAACCAACAAGCUUGCUUGUUGGGGUUGUAGGACACUCUAUACGGAGUUACAAAGGACGACAUUAGACGAAUCAUCUGGAAAGAUGAAUCAAAGAAGGUAAUAAUCCUGUAGUCGAAAAUGUUGUCUCUCUUGAGUGGAUCCUGAGUACGACGGAGCACGUGAAAUUCCGUCGGAAUCUGGGAGGACCAUCUCCUAAGGCUAAAUACUCUCUAGUGACCGAUAGUGAACCAGUACCGUGAGGGAAAGGUGAAAAGCACCCCGGAAGGGGAGUGAAACAGAACCUGAAACCGUGUGCUUACAAGUAGUCAGAGCCCGUUAAUGGGUGAUGGCGUGCCUUUUGUAGAAUGAACCGGCGAGUUACGAUUUGAUGCAAGGUUAAGCAGUAAAUGUGGAGCCGUAGCGAAAGCGAGUCUGAAUAGGGCGUUUAGUAUUUGGUCGUAGACCCGAAACCAGGUGAUCUACCCUUGGUCAGGUUGAAGUUCAGGUAACACUGAAUGGAGGACCGAACCGACUUACGUUGAAAAGUGAGCGGAUGAACUGAGGGUAGCGGAGAAAUUCCAAUCGAACCUGGAGAUAGCUGGUUCUCUCCGAAAUAGCUUUAGGGCUAGCCUCAAGUGAUGAUUAUUGGAGGUAGAGCACUGUUUGGACGAGGGGCCCCUCUCGGGUUACCGAAUUCAGACAAACUCCGAAUGCCAAUUAAUUUAACUUGGGAGUCAGAACAUGGGUGAUAAGGUCCGUGUUCGAAAGGGAAACAGCCCAGACCACCAGCUAAGGUCCCAAAAUAUAUGUUAAGUGGAAAAGGAUGUGGCGUUGCCCAGACAACUAGGAUGUUGGCUUAGAAGCAGCCAUCAUUUAAAGAGUGCGUAAUAGCUCACUAGUCGAGUGACACUGCGCCGAAAAUGUACCGGGGCUAAACAUAUUACCGAAGCUGUGGAUUGUCCUUUGGACAAUGGUAGGAGAGCGUUCUAAGGGCGUUGAAGCAUGAUCGUAAGGACAUGUGGAGCGCUUAGAAGUGAGAAUGCCGGUGUGAGUAGCGAAAGACGGGUGAGAAUCCCGUCCACCGAUUGACUAAGGUUUCCAGAGGAAGGCUCGUCCGCUCUGGGUUAGUCGGGUCCUAAGCUGAGGCCGACAGGCGUAGGCGAUGGAUAACAGGUUGAUAUUCCUGUACCACCUAUAAUCGUUUUAAUCGAUGGGGGGACGCAGUAGGAUAGGCGAAGCGUGCGAUUGGAUUGCACGUCUAAGCAGUAAGGCUGAGUAUUAGGCAAAUCCGGUACUCAUUAAGGCUGAGCUGUGAUGGGGAGAAGACAUUGUGUCUUCGAGUCGUUGAUUUCACACUGCCGAGAAAAGCCUCUAGAUAGAAAAUAGGUGCCCGUACCACAAACCGACACAGGUAGUCAAGAUGAGAAUUCUAAGGUGAGCGAGCGAACUCUCGUUAAGGAACUCGGCAAAAUGACCCCGUAACUUCGGGAGAAGGGGUGCUCUUUAGGGUUAACGCCCAGAAGAGCCGCAGUGAAUAGGCCCAAGCGACUGUUUAUCAAAAACACAGGUCUCUGCUAAACCGUAAGGUGAUGUAUAGGGGCUGACGCCUGCCCGGUGCUGGAAGGUUAAGAGGAGUGGUUAGCUUCUGCGAAGCUACGAAUCGAAGCCCCAGUAAACGGCGGCCGUAACUAUAACGGUCCUAAGGUAGCGAAAUUCCUUGUCGGGUAAGUUCCGACCCGCACGAAAGGCGUAACGAUUUGGGCACUGUCUCAACGAGAGACUCGGUGAAAUCAUAGUACCUGUGAAGAUGCAGGUUACCCGCGACAGGACGGAAAGACCCCGUGGAGCUUUACUGUAGCCUGAUAUUGAAAUUCGGCACAGCUUGUACAGGAUAGGUAGGAGCCUUUGAAACGUGAGCGCUAGCUUACGUGGAGGCGCUGGUGGGAUACUACCCUAGCUGUGUUGGCUUUCUAACCCGCACCACUUAUCGUGGUGGGAGACAGUGUCAGGCGGGCAGUUUGACUGGGGCGGUCGCCUCCUAAAAGGUAACGGAGGCGCUCAAAGGUUCCCUCAGAAUGGUUGGAAAUCAUUCAUAGAGUGUAAAGGCAUAAGGGAGCUUGACUGCGAGACCUACAAGUCGAGCAGGGUCGAAAGACGGACUUAGUGAUCCGGUGGUUCCGCAUGGAAGGGCCAUCGCUCAACGGAUAAAAGCUACCCCGGGGAUAACAGGCUUAUCUCCCCCAAGAGUUCACAUCGACGGGGAGGUUUGGCACCUCGAUGUCGGCUCAUCGCAUCCUGGGGCUGUAGUCGGUCCCAAGGGUUGGGCUGUUCGCCCAUUAAAGCGGUACGCGAGCUGGGUUCAGAACGUCGUGAGACAGUUCGGUCCCUAUCCGUCGUGGGCGUAGGAAAUUUGAGAGGAGCUGUCCUUAGUACGAGAGGACCGGGAUGGACAUACCUCUGGUGUACCAGUUGUCGUGCCAACGGCAUAGCUGGGUAGCUAUGUGUGGACGGGAUAAGUGCUGAAAGCAUCUAAGCAUGAAGCCCCCCUCAAGAUGAGAUUUCCCAACUUCGGUUAUAAGAUCCCUCAAAGAUGAUGAGGUUAAUAGGUUCGAGGUGGAAGCAUGGUGACAUGUGGAGCUGACGAAUACUAAUCGAUCGAAGACUUAAUCAA